GACGCCGGUAAUUUCCCGUCGGACAUGUUUCGGCGGUGCACGCGCAUGGUGCUCAGAGCACAGCAGAUGGUUGAAUUACUCUAAUAGUUUUUUUUAUAAUAUGGGGAAUUAGAGAACAGUUCGUUAGGUGAUUUUAAGCGGCUUCUUGCAAAUACUACAUCAGAAUACCAAGAUGUUUGCAAAAGCGUUUCGUGUGAAAUCAAACACCGUUAUCAAGGGAUCUGACAGGAGGAAGCUGAGAACAGAUAUCUCAGCUGCUUUUCCUUCUCUGUCAGUGCAGGAACUAAAUGAGCUCAUCCCAAAUAAAGAAGAGCUGAAUAUUGUGAAGAUUUACGCACAUAAAGGAGAUGCAGUCACUCUGUAUGUCCUCCAUAAAAAUCCCAUAUUCUUUCAGCUGGAGAAACAGCUGUUCCCAACAGUGUACACACUGUGGCGAUGUCCCACCAUGCUACCGGCAUUCGCCACGUGGCCACCUGUCCUGCAGAAGUUAUCUGGUGGAGCAGAUCUCAUGUUGCCUGGUGUAGUGGUAUCCAAUAGUGGCCUUCCUGAGGUACAUCAAGGCGAUUGCUGUGCUGUCACUCUUGUGAUGAACAGGGCACCAGUGGCUGUUGGGACAGCAGCUGUGUCGAGCACUGAGAUGAGGAAGAGUGGAAUGAAGGGGAAAGGAGUGAAUAUUUUACAUGCAUACAUGGACCAGCUGUGGGCAUUUGGUGAUAAGACGCAUCCUCCCGUUAUACCGGUCACAAACUCUCCAGCACAGGUGGAGGGAGAAUCAGAGGGAGAGGAAUGUGAGGAGAAGGAUGGCUCUGAAUCAGCUGCAGUGGAAACAUCUUGUCAGAGCAUGCAAGAGCUGAGGCUGGAUGAGCAUGAGGUGCUGAAGGAAGAACAACUGCUUGAGGAUAAAGAGGGUGAAGACACUGAUGGAGAAGAGCACGACUCUAGAUCUCCACAGGAGCAGAUGGAUGAGUUAUUGCUGCAAUGUUUCCUCCAUGCACUUAAGACUAAAGUCAAAAAGUCAGACCUCCCACUACUGACCAGCACCUUCCUGAGCAAGCACAUGGUGUCCUGCUGUCCUAGAGGAAAGCAACUAGAUAUCAAGAAAUCAAGUUAUAAAAAGCUGUCUAAGUUUCUGUUGUGCAUGCAGAGAGAUCACAGUCUGGUUCAGGUGAAGGAGCUGAGUAAAGGUGUGGAGAGCAUUGUGGAAGUUGACUGGAGGAACCCUGAAUUGUGUUCUUUCAGCACACCAGAGGACUGUGGGCCGGAGAAAGAGUCUGUGGAGGGGUGCGGGGCUUGUGAGGUCCCAUACCAACCCCCUGAAAUCACACAACUCUAUGGGGUCACUGCACGCCUGGAACCUCUUUUUCAGGACGCCCAGAAAAAAAAGGGGACACCUCUAAAGGCCAGUGAAGUGAGGAAUAUCAUCACAGAUUAUGUGAAGAAAAAUGAACUGGUCCAUGAAACCAACAAAAAUUAUGUUAAUAUUAACCCUACACUUUGUGACUGUUUGCUGGAGAAGUCCGAGUACCACGAAGUGGAGACACUGAAAUGGGAUGACCUCUUUAGCAGGACUCUCACCAGAAUGCAGGCAUGCCAUGAGGUGCUGUUUCCAGGUCAGCCUCCUGUUGUUAAGAAAGGACAGAUGGAGCCUAUAGACAUUACUGUAGCCUCCAGAGGAUCCAAUAAGAAGCUUUUGUCACCAAGCCCAGUGAACAACAACAUGUCCUGGAAAUCAUCACCUACUUCACCAUAGCAACUUUAGUCCCGCCCACUGGCGUUAGUGAGAUGAGAAAGGGAGAAGAGCGCAGGAUCACUCACUGGACUAAUAUAACGCCUUUUAAAGGAUCCUAAUGCUAGGAAUGUGGUUAUUUUAUUUUUUUUCAACAAUGUGAAUGUCUCAGUUGAGCAUUAUUUAUUUUUUUUAUAUGUGGUACAUUUCACUAAAUUUCACUAGAUUUCGUCAAAUCAGUCGCAAUUUUGGAGCAGGCUUUGCAAACAGACGUUUACGAUAUGGACUUGACAGUAAUGUGACAACAUAUGAUCUUAGAAGUCAGGAGUUUAUCACUGAACAUCUACAGUGGCAAAAGUACCUGUAACCCUGGUUACAGUAAUUAAGAAUCUGGAGGCGUUUGGUUUAGAUCCAGCUGUGGUAGCAGACACUCUGCAGCGUCAGGUUCAGGCCAGCUGUGUCCUCAACGAGUCCCCUGGGGC
RNA transcript from Megalobrama amblycephala (Wuchang bream), 2208 nucleotides. It is a transcript of the gene named eukaryotic translation initiation factor 2D, with no coding region annotated. Lineage: Eukaryota; Metazoa; Chordata; Actinopteri; Cypriniformes; Xenocyprididae. The transcript is spliced from 16 exons. The record is from RefSeq and is a predicted model, not a curated record.